RNAcentral lists this ribosomal RNA (253 nucleotides) under uncultured bacterium. RNAcentral describes it as "partial 16S ribosomal RNA". It matches the Rfam family "Bacterial small subunit ribosomal RNA", at positions 524 to 776 of the family's 1533-position model. The record is from RNAcentral.
UACAGAGGUGGCGAGCGUUGUUCGGAAUUACUGGGCUUAAAGGGCGUGUAGGCGUUCUGAUAAGUCAGGUGUGGAAGCCCCUGGCUCAACCGGGGAAUAGCACUUGAAACUGUCGGGAUAGAGUGUAGUUAAGGAGGGCGGAAUUCCUGGUGUAGCAGUGAAAUGCGUAGAUAUCAGGAGGAAGGCCUGUGACGAAGGUGGCCCUCUGGGCUGUCACUGACGCUGAGGCGCGAAAGCGUGGGGAGCAAACAGG